Molecule: unclassified non-coding RNA, 203 nt
Filed under: Hevea brasiliensis (rubber tree)
Lineage: Eukaryota; Viridiplantae; Streptophyta; Magnoliopsida; Malpighiales; Euphorbiaceae
Source: RNAcentral
GGACUUGAUGUGGCGGAGAGGGCGAGCUAGACAUAUUGGGGUGGAGAAGGAUGAUAUUUAUGUUCAGGUGGUGGAUGAUAUACAUGUGGUGGGGAAGAAGGAUGAUGGACUUGAUGUGGCGGAGAGGGCGAGCUAAGUUCACUGGUCAGAGCACUGGCAACGCGUGAUUGGUAUUUGUCCACCCUAACCUCGACUAACUCUUC